GGGUCAGUAGGUUGGUCGUGCCACCGGUACGUACUGGUCUCACUGAUUCCUCCUUCCUGAAGAACCGCUAUGCCAUUAAUUUGGUGUUGCGGGGAAACAGGACUGUUACUUUGAAAAAAUUAGAGUGUUUAAAGCAAGCUAACGCUUGAAUACAUAGCAUGGAAUAAUGAAAUAGGACGAUCGAUCCUAUUUUGUUGGUUUCUAGGAUUGACGUA
RNAcentral lists this ribosomal RNA (215 nucleotides) under Glomeromycotina sp. RNAcentral's name for it is "partial small subunit ribosomal RNA". The stretch from base 40 to 215 matches the Rfam family "Eukaryotic small subunit ribosomal RNA", at positions 686 to 864 of the family's 1831-position model. Lineage: Eukaryota; Fungi; Glomeromycota. The record is from RNAcentral.